UGGGGCGUGGUCUAAUGGCAGGACACGGGAUUUUGGAUCCCGCGGUGGUGGUUCGAAUCCACCCGCCCCAG
This 71-nucleotide transfer RNA is filed under the name Caldifarciminota bacterium. RNAcentral describes it as "tRNA-Gln". It matches the Rfam family "tRNA". From Rfam's summary of the family: Transfer RNA (tRNA) molecules are approximately 80 nucleotides in length. The record is from RNAcentral. RNAcentral also lists the same sequence under 1 other name. Lineage: Bacteria; Pseudomonadati; Caldifarciminota.